This is a non-coding RNA of Parelaphostrongylus tenuis, 72 nucleotides long. The record is from the annotation of a GenBank genome assembly. Lineage: Eukaryota; Metazoa; Nematoda; Chromadorea; Rhabditida; Metastrongylidae.
GUGUCGGUAGUGUAGCGGAACAGCACGCGCCUCGGAUGGAGUAAAAUAUGGGUUUGAAUCCCACCUGAUGCA